UACAGAGGUCCCAAGCGUUGUUCGGAUUCACUGGGCGUAAAGGGUGCGCAGGUGGGUUUGCAAGUUCGAUGUGAAAGCCCCGGGCUUAACCCGGGAAUGGCAUUGGAUACUGCAGAUCUGGAGGUUCGGAGGGGGGGACUGGAAUUCUUGGUGUAGCAGUGAAAUGCGUAGAUAUCAAAGAGGAACACCAGUGGCGAAGGCGAGUCCCUGGACGACACCUGACACUGAGGCACGAAAGCUAGGGGGAGCAAACAGG
This 256-nucleotide ribosomal RNA is filed under the name uncultured bacterium. RNAcentral's name for it is "partial 16S ribosomal RNA". It matches the Rfam family "Bacterial small subunit ribosomal RNA", at positions 524 to 776 of the family's 1533-position model. The record is from RNAcentral.